RNAcentral lists this ribosomal RNA (726 nucleotides) under Choerophryne sp. SJR13272. RNAcentral describes it as "partial 12S ribosomal RNA". The stretch from base 1 to 501 matches the Rfam family "Bacterial small subunit ribosomal RNA", at positions 791 to 1533 of the family's 1533-position model. The record is from RNAcentral. Lineage: Eukaryota; Metazoa; Chordata; Amphibia; Anura; Microhylidae.
UAUGCCUAGCUGUAAAAUAUUUACUUACACUAAAACCGCCAGGGAAUUACAAGCCCAAGCUUAAAACCCAAAGGACUUGACGGUGUCCCAUCCCCCUAGAGGAGCCUGUUCUAUAAUCGAUUCUCCCCGAUUUACCCCACCACUUCUUGAACACCCAGUCUGUAUACCUCCGUCGCAAGCUUACCGUAUGAACGCACCUAGUAGGCAAAAAGAUUUACUAUCAACACGUCAGGUCAAGGUGCAGCCUACGAAGUGGAAAGAAAUGGGCUACAAUCUCUAUAUUAGAAUAAACGGAAGGCUGUAUGAAACACAGCCACUAAGGCGGAUUUAGAAGUAAAAAGAAAAUAGAGAGUUCUUUUUAACUAGGCCCUGGGACGCGUACACACCGCCCGUCACCCUCUUUAAACAAACCAAAAAGUUAAUAACACACUAUAAUUAAAUAGAAGAGGCAAGUCGUAACAUGGUAAGCGUACUGGAAAGUGCACUUGGAGUAAAAUGUAGUUUAACUAAAAUUUCUUGCUUACACCAAGAACAUGUCUGUGUAACUCAGACCAUUUUAAGCCUAACUCACAGCCCUUCUAAUCUUUAUAAAUUUUACUUCAAACAAACUAACUAAAACAUUCUUUCAACUAAGUAAAGGCGAUUAAAAAGUUUAUAGGAGCCCUAACACUAGUACCGCAAGGGAAAAAUGAAAUAACAUGAAAUAAAUUUAAGCACUGUGAAGUA